AUGAAUUGCUUUGUAAGGAGUUCACUGAGAAGGAAGUUUUGGUUGCCCUCAAUAGUAUUGGUGAUCUCAGGGCUCCUGGACCAGAUGGUAUGCCCUCCUUGUUUUACAAAAAAAAAAUGUUGGGAUAUAGUUGGUGAUAAAGUUCUACAUGAGGUCAUGCAAGUGCUUAAUGGAGGGCCUAUGCCAGCAGAGUGGAAUGAUACUUGUGUGGUUUUUGUUAGAAGGGAGAGAGAGGAAUUGAUGGAAUCGUUGGUUGUAUUGCUUGAGCCUCGUGGGCAUAUACAUAGGAGUACAAUGGUCAUCUUGGCGUACAAGGCAAGCCAGAAUAUUUCCUAG
This 336-nucleotide ribosomal RNA is filed under the name Triticum aestivum (bread wheat). RNAcentral describes it as "partial small subunit ribosomal RNA". The record is from RNAcentral. Lineage: Eukaryota; Viridiplantae; Streptophyta; Magnoliopsida; Poales; Poaceae.